RNAcentral lists this long non-coding RNA (677 nucleotides) under Brassica napus (rape). RNAcentral's name for it is "long non-coding RNA (BNAP_LNC018598)". The record is from RNAcentral. Lineage: Eukaryota; Viridiplantae; Streptophyta; Magnoliopsida; Brassicales; Brassicaceae.
ACUUUGGAAAGUUUCUGCGGAAAACACUUGGAGAAUACGUUUCAAAGUUAUGAAAGUGUACGUAAAAGGAUAACAAGAUAGGAAAGGACAAGGGAAAAGAUAGCGUGAGGCUCCCAUGGCCCUCAUAAACACGUCAAAUCGCCCACAUAGCCUCUUUCUUAUCACUCCAAUCGCCCACCUAGCUUCCAUUAGCUCCAAUCGCCCACAUAGCCACUCUCUCAUCACUCCAAUUGCCCACAUAGCUUCCAUGAGCUCCAAUCACCCACAUAGCCUCCCUCUCAUCACUCCAAUCGCCCACAUAGCUUCCAUGAGAUCCAAUUGCUCACAUAAGACUCUCUCUCAUCGCACAAUCUCUUCCAAUCGCCGACAUAUCUUUCAUGAGAUCCAAUCGCCCACAUAGCUUUCAUGAGAUCCAAUCGCCCACAUAGAAUCUCUAUCAUCACACGACCUCUUCCAAUUUGCCACAUAGACUCUCUCUCAUCACACAAGCUCUUCCAGUCGCCCACAUAGACUCUCUCUCAUCACACAAUAUCUUCCAAUCUCCGACAUAGACUUUCUAUCAUCACACAAGCUCUUCUAAUCGCCCACAUAAACUCUCUCUCAUCACACAAGCUCUUCCAAUCUCCCACAUAGACUCUCUCUCAUCACUCUUUAGUUCUCAAAUCGCCCACAUAGCU